This 301-nucleotide ribosomal RNA is filed under the name uncultured bacterium. RNAcentral describes it as "partial 16S ribosomal RNA". It matches the Rfam family "Bacterial small subunit ribosomal RNA", at positions 509 to 808 of the family's 1533-position model. The record is from RNAcentral.
CAGCAGCGCGGGAAAACAGAGGGUGCGAGCGUUAAUCGGAUUUACUGGGCGUAAAGCGUGCGUAGGCGGCUUCUUAAGUCGGAUGUGAAAUCCCUGAGCUUAACUUAGGAAUUGCAUUCGAUACUGGGAAGCUAGAGUAUGGGAGAGGAUGGUAGAAUUCCAGGUGUAGCGGUGAAAUGCGUAGAGAUCUGGAGGAAUACCGAUGGCGAAGGCAGCCAUCUGGCCUAAUACUGACGCUGAGGUACGAAAGCAUGGGGAGCAAACAGGAUUAGAUACCCCCGUAGUCCCUGUCUCUUAUACA